UCUUGAAGAGGAAGUUGGGUGUGGCAGGCACUUUGUUGACAUAUCCAGUAUAGGAGUGCUCCUGGGAGCCCAUCUCUCACUUUUGAAAAGUGACUUUGUAAGUUAGGACUUUUCAUCAGGCACUCCCAGGAAAGCCUAGCUAAAUGCAGCUGGUGACUUGCUGAGUUUGGAGUUCUUGGCCUGCCAUCUCCUUGCACUCUUCCUUCUGGAACUACCUUGGUUUGUCAGCUUACUACCUAUUCAGAGUUGGCUUGUUUCUGGACUCUUUCUUCUACUUAGGUGAGUUGGCUUCCAACUAGACUGCUUGACUCUUGGCUAUGCUUCUGGGUCUAUGAACGGGAGGAGAAACUCAUCUCCAGUGACAACACUUCUUCCCAUUAUUAUUUCUUGCACAAGAGAGAGAGACAGCCAGCGAGAGAGGGAACACAGGCAGGGAGACUGG
Molecule: long non-coding RNA, 442 nt
Organism: Ailuropoda melanoleuca (giant panda)
Lineage: Eukaryota; Metazoa; Chordata; Mammalia; Carnivora; Ursidae
Exons: 3
Source: RefSeq, a predicted model, not a curated record